GAUGAAGAACGCAGCGAAAUGCGAUAAGUAGUGUGAAUUGCAGAAUUCCGUGAAUCAUCGAAUCUUUGAACGCACAUUGCGCCCCCUGGUAUUCCGGGGGGCAUGCCUGUCCGAGCGUCAUUGCUGCCCUCAAGCCCGGCUUGUGUGUUGGGUCUCGUCCCCCUUCCCGGGGGGACGGGCCCGAAAGGCAGCGGCGGCACCGCGUCCGGUCCUCGAGCGUAUGGGGCUUUGUCACCCGCUCUGUAGGCCCGGCCGGCGCUUGCCGAUCAACCAAAACUUUUUUCCAGGUUGACCUCGGAUCAGGUAGGGAUACCCGCUGAACUUAAGCAUAUCAAUAAGCGGAGGA
Molecule: unclassified non-coding RNA, 346 nt
Filed under: soil metagenome
Description: partial contains 5.8S ribosomal RNA, internal transcribed spacer 2, and large subunit ribosomal RNA
Rfam family: 5.8S ribosomal RNA (bases 1-120)
Source: RNAcentral